CCCGUGGCCCAGUGGGUAGAGUGAUGCACUUGGAGUUUGGCGUGAGGGAAGUGAGGGGCGCGUAGGUUCGAACCCCCCUCUCGGAACUCGCAAAAACCUUCAAAGAGCAUCCCUCCAUCACCAUGUGUGCCUCAAACACACAGGCACGGUGGUGGAGCUGCCCACGGGGAGGAGGGGAGGUGAGUGCGCAGCACCUCCCUACCCUCCCCAGGAGUGGAAGGCAUGGCCUUACCACCCCCGGGAGAGCAAGGGAGGUGAGUGCACAGCGCUUUCCUUCUCUCCCCACCUAACCCUGGCAAGUCUACGGACUACCAGACGAAAAAAAAAAAAAAAAAAAAGAUUAAACAAAUGAUUAUUAAAAAAUAAAGGUGAGUGCAUAGCACUUUCCUUGUCUGCAAAAGAAAAAUGAAUAAAUAAAAUAUAAAGGUGAGUGCACAGCACUUCCCUUGUCUUCAAGCAAAAGAAAAAUUAAUAAAUAAAAAAAUAAAGGUGAGUGCAUAGCACUUCCCUUCUCUCAACACCUACCAGGCAAAAAAAAAAAAUAAAUAAGAAAAAAAUAUUAAUAAAUAAAAGAUACGAGCUACCUACCUGACCCUGGAAAAAAAAAGUUUGAAAAAUAUAUGAAAAAAAAAAUACUAAUCUGACCUUGGCACCACCAACCUAACUGACUCUUGACCACCAACCCUGACCAACCACCGACCGUGGGAAGCAUGGGAGGUGAGUGUGCAGCACCUCCCUACCUUCCCCAGUCUCCCAAGUUUGACUCUAACAACCACCAACCUGACUGACCAAGAAAACACCAUCAGAGGAAGAAGAAGGAGGCAAGGGAGCAGGGGAGGUGAGUGUGCAGCACUUCCCUAACCCCCAAUCUCAUUCUGACCACCUACUGACUGGCAGCAGACCACCACCGACCUGACUGAACUGAAUAAUUAAAAACUAGGGAAGCAUGGGAGGUGAGUGUGCAGCAUCUCCCUACCCUUCCCAGUUUGACUCUGACAACCUGACUUAUCCUGGCAUCUCCAAUCUCACUGACCACCACCAACCUCACUGAUUCGGAGGAGCAAUGAAGGUGAGUGUGCAGUUACUCUGACUCUGACCAUCACCUGACUGACCGACCCUGGGGAGCAUGGGAGGUGAGUGUGCAGCACCUCCCUACCCCCAUAUCUGAUUCUGACCACCAGCCUGACUUGACUGACUAUGGCAACAGACCACCAAACUGACUGACUAAGGGGAGUGUGUAGCACCUCCCUAACCCCCAAUCUGAUUCUGACCACCUACUGACUGACUGACCUUGGGAAGCAUGGGAAGUGAGUGUGCAGCACCUCCCUACCCUUCCCAUUCUUUCAGGAACCUCACUUAUUCGGGGGAGCAAGGGGAGGUGAGUGUGCAGCACACCCCUAACCCCCAAUCUGAUUCUGACCCUGGCAAGUGAGUGUACAGCACCUCCUUACCUGUACUGAUUCUGGGGAGCAGGGGAGGUGAGUGUGCAGUGCCUCCUACUCCCCCCAUUCUCACUCUGACCACCACCAGCCUGACUGAUCCUGGUAAGGCGGAUGUGCAGCAAUUCCAAAACAACUAACCUCCCAGUUUGUCUCUAACCACCAGCCUUACUGCUUCGGAGGCGAGUGUGCAGCACCUCCCUACCCUCCCCAGAGGAGGAAGGCACCGCCUUACCACCCCCUACCACCAAAUCCCUACCACCAAAUCCGAUUCUAACCCUGGCAACUGAUCCUGGCAACUAGCUGACUCUGGCAACAGACCAAGGGUAGGUGAGUGUGCAGCACCUCCCUACUGACCUGACCACCAACCCUGACCCUGGGAAGCAUGGGAGGUGAGUGUGCAGCACCUCCCUACCCUUCCUCCCACCAACCUGACGGACUCUGGCAACCCCAAAAACAACUAACCUGACUGGGGAGGAGGGGAGAUGAGUGUGCAGCACCUCCCUAACCCCCUAAUCUGACUCUGACCACCAGCCUGACCCUGACAAACUGACCAUCAAGAUGACUCACUCAUUGAUUCGGGGAAGGUGAGUGCAAUACCUCCUACUCUCCCCAAUCUAACACUGACUACAGAUCUGACUGACCCUGACUGACUCUAGAGGGGAGGUGAGUGUGCACCACCUGCCUGACUGAUCCUGGCAAGGUUAGUGUGCAACAGCAACUCCCUACUGACUCUGGCAACAGAGUCUGACUGAACCUGGGGAGCGGGGGAGAUAAGUGUGCAGAACCUCCCUACCCUUCUCAGUCUCCCAGUUUGACCACCUACAUGACUGACCAACCUCACUGCUUCGGAGGAGCUCUGACCACUAACUAAAUGACCCUGACUGGCUCGUGGUUUCCUCACUCUGAUUUUGAUUG
Molecule: long non-coding RNA, 2357 nt
Organism: Scylla paramamosain (green mud crab)
Lineage: Eukaryota; Metazoa; Arthropoda; Malacostraca; Decapoda; Portunidae
Exons: 2
Source: RefSeq, a predicted model, not a curated record